AACGAACGCUGGCGGCAGGCCUAACACAUGCAAGUCGAGCGCCCCGCAAGGGGAGCGGCGGACGGGUGAGUAACGCGUGGGAACGUACCUUUUGCUUCGGAAUAGCGUCGGGAAACUGGGAGUAAUACCGACUGUGGCCUAUGGGGGAAAGAUAUAUCGGCAAAAUAUCGGCCCGCGUUGGAUUAGGUAGUUGGUGGGGUGAUGGCAUACCAAGCCGACGAUCCAUAGCUGGUUUGAGAGGAUGAUCAGCCACACUGGGACUGAGACACGGCCCAGACUCCUACGGGAGGAAGCAGUGGGGAAUCUUAGACAAUGGGCGCAAGCCUGAUCUAGCCAUGCCGCGUGAGCGAUGAAGGCCUUAGGGUUGUAAAGCUCUUUCGUGGGGGAAGAUAAUGACUGUACCCCAAGAAGAAGACCCGGCUAACUCCGUGCCAGCCGCCGCAGUAA
This 447-nucleotide ribosomal RNA is filed under the name uncultured bacterium. RNAcentral describes it as "partial 16S ribosomal RNA". It matches the Rfam family "Bacterial small subunit ribosomal RNA", at positions 29 to 523 of the family's 1533-position model. The record is from RNAcentral.